CUGGCCGAUGAUGAUCAAACAAAAACUUUCGUUCUACCGAGCAGGCAUAGCCUGUGUGGAAACAACUUGGAGACCUGAACUGAAGGCCAA
RNAcentral lists this small nucleolar RNA (90 nucleotides) under Monoraphidium neglectum. RNAcentral's name for it is "Small nucleolar RNA Z159/U59". It matches the Rfam family "Small nucleolar RNA Z159/U59". Rfam says of the family: This family consists of several snoRNA Z159 or U59 sequences which are members of the C/D class of snoRNA which contain the C (UGAUGA) and D (CUGA) box motifs. This family seems to be found exclusively in rice. Lineage: Eukaryota; Viridiplantae; Chlorophyta; Chlorophyceae; Sphaeropleales; Selenastraceae. The record is from Rfam by way of RNAcentral.